AUUGAACGCUGGCGGCAUGCCUUACACAUGCAAGUCGAACGGUAACGCGGGGCAACCUGGCGACGAGUGGCGAACGGGUGAGUAAUAUAUCGGAACGUGCCCAGUAGUGGGGGAUAGCCCGGCGAAAGCCGGAUUAAUACCGCAUACGACCUACGGGUGAAAGAGGGGGAUCGCAAGACCUCUCGCUAUUGGAGCGGCCGAUAUCAGAUUAGGUAGUUGGUGGGUAAAAGCCUACCAAGCCGACGAUCUGUAGCUGGUCUGAGAGGACGACCAGCCACACUGGGACUGAGACACGGCCCAGACUCCUACGGGAGGCAGCAGUGGGGAAUUUUGGACAAUGGGCGCAAGCCUGAUCCAGCCAUGCCGCGUGCGGGANAGGCCUUGG
RNAcentral lists this ribosomal RNA (385 nucleotides) under uncultured bacterium. Its description in RNAcentral is "bacterial SSU rRNA". It matches the Rfam family "Bacterial small subunit ribosomal RNA", at positions 29 to 420 of the family's 1533-position model. The record is from RNAcentral.